This 645-nucleotide ribosomal RNA is filed under the name Chloroflexota bacterium. RNAcentral describes it as "bacterial SSU rRNA". It matches the Rfam family "Bacterial small subunit ribosomal RNA", at positions 877 to 1533 of the family's 1533-position model. The record is from RNAcentral. Lineage: Bacteria; Bacillati; Chloroflexota.
GGACUACGGCCGCAAGGCUAAAACUCAAAGGAAUUGACGGGGGCCCGCACAAGCAGCGGAGCGUGUGGUUUAAUUCGAUGGUACGCGAAGAACCUUACCCGGAUUUGACAUGCAUGUGGUACUGAUGUGAAAGCUGAGGGACCCUUCGGGGAGCAUGCACAGGUGUUGCACGGCCGUCGUCAGCUCGUGCCGUGAGGUGUUGGGUUAAGUCUCGCAACGAGCGCAACCCCUGUCGUCAGUUGUACUUUUCUGACGAGACUGCCGGGAAACCCCCGGAGGAAGGAGGGGAUGAUGUCAGGUCAGCGUGGCCCUUACGUCCGGGGCUACACACACGCUACAAUGGGUGGUCCAACGGGUCGCGAAACCGCGAGGUGGAGCUAAUCCCAUCAAAGCCAUCCUCAGUUCGGAUUGCAGGCUGAAACUCGCCUGCAUGAAGCCGGAGUUGCUAGUAACCGCAGGUCAGCACUACUGCGGUGAAUACGUUCCCGGGCCUUGUACACACCGCCCGUCACGUCAUGAAAGUUGGCAAUACCUGAAGCCGCUCGGCUAACCGCAAGGAAGCAAGUGUCGAGGGUAGGGCCAGCGAUUGGGACGAAGUCGUAACAAGGUAGCCGUAGCGGAAGCUGCGGCUGGAUCACCUCCUUU